Molecule: non-coding RNA, 73 nt
Organism: Ixodes scapularis (black-legged tick)
Lineage: Eukaryota; Metazoa; Arthropoda; Arachnida; Ixodida; Ixodidae
Source: Rfam
CCCUGGUUAGCUCAGUCGCUUGAGCGCUCCACCUGUAAUGGAGAGGUCCCGGGUUCGAUACCCGGACCAGGCG